UCUCUCUCUAGAACUCCCUCUUCACCACUUUCACCACCUCGCACCAUCACCUCCUUGGCACUGAUCCCCACCUCCUCCCCCUUCGUUCCCACGUUCUCCCCCAACUGCGCUCUCCUUGGUAGCACAUAACGAAGACAAUCAGUUGGAUCUAGCAGCGGCGAUGACGGUAACAACACCUAGCACGACGGUGGCGACAAUAACACCCCUAUCACUUCAAUUUAUGAGGUUCACACCCUCUUUCUCUCUGUCUUUUCAGUUUGGAGUUUUUUAGGGUUUAUAUCAAAAUCAUUAAAUUGAAAAUUCAGUUGGACUAAG
RNAcentral lists this long non-coding RNA (315 nucleotides) under Panax ginseng (ginseng). Its description in RNAcentral is "long non-coding RNA (PGIN_LNC014335)". The record is from RNAcentral. Lineage: Eukaryota; Viridiplantae; Streptophyta; Magnoliopsida; Apiales; Araliaceae.